This 20-nucleotide microRNA is filed under the name Ciona intestinalis (vase tunicate). RNAcentral describes it as "cin-miR-4055-3p". Lineage: Eukaryota; Metazoa; Chordata; Ascidiacea; Phlebobranchia; Cionidae. The record is from miRBase by way of RNAcentral.
ACCAUUCUGUGUUUCGAAUG